This 274-nucleotide ribosomal RNA is filed under the name uncultured bacterium. RNAcentral's name for it is "partial 16S ribosomal RNA". It matches the Rfam family "Bacterial small subunit ribosomal RNA", at positions 523 to 796 of the family's 1533-position model. The record is from RNAcentral.
AUACGGAGGGUGCAAGCGUUAUCCGGAUUUACUGGGUUUAAAGGGUACGCAGGCGGUAAUUUAAGUCAGUGGUGAAAGCCUACAGCUCAACUGUAGAACUGCCAUUGACACUGAAUUACUUGAGUAUGGUAGAGGUAGGCGGAAUACAACAUGUAGCGGUGAAAUGCAUAGAUAUGUUGUAGAACACCGAUUGCGAAGGCAGCUUACUAAACCAUUACUGACGCUCAUGUACGAAAGCGUGGGGAGCGAACAGGAUUAGAAACCCGAGUAGUCC